Molecule: non-coding RNA, 417 nt
Organism: Camelina sativa (false flax)
Lineage: Eukaryota; Viridiplantae; Streptophyta; Magnoliopsida; Brassicales; Brassicaceae
Source: RefSeq, a predicted model, not a curated record
AUUUUAUGACAUUCUCACCAAUGCUAGUGUCGUUACGAAUUGGAUCCCGCUUCUACUUUGUUGUAACAAGACGGAUAAAGUAACUGCGCAUUCCAAAGGUUUCAUUAGCAGGCAAAUGGAGAGAGAACUAGAGAGACUUAGGAGCGAAAGGAAUGACUUUACACUCGGGAUUGAAGGAGAAGUGUUCUCGUUUUCACAUUGCCGUAACACAAUCACUGUCGCUGAGACCUCUGGACUAACGGGAGAAACAGAUCAGAUACAAGAGUUCAUCAGAGAACACGUUGAGCCUUUGAGAACCUAACUGUGUGAGCAUCUCUCAGUUCUAAAAACAAAAAAAACAAAAAUACAAUUAAAUGUGUGUCUCUUUUCAUUUUAUUGUACAUGAUGAGUUUAUAAGUUGAGCGUUUGUUUAGCGUA